RNAcentral lists this signal recognition particle RNA (300 nucleotides) under Cebus imitator (Panamanian white-faced capuchin). Its description in RNAcentral is "Metazoan signal recognition particle RNA (ENSCCAG00000013074.1)". It matches the Rfam family "Metazoan signal recognition particle RNA". Rfam says of the family: The signal recognition particle (SRP) is a universally conserved ribonucleoprotein. It is involved in the co-translational targeting of proteins to membranes. Lineage: Eukaryota; Metazoa; Chordata; Mammalia; Primates; Cebidae. The record is from RNAcentral.
GCCGGGCUCGGUGGCGCAUGCCUGUAGUCCCAGCUAUUCGGGAGGCUGAGGCUGGAGGAUCUCUUGAGCCCAGGAGUUCUGGGCUGUAGUGCGCUAUGCCGAUCGGGUGUCCGCACUAAGUUUGGCAUCAAUAUGGUGACCUCCUGGGAGCGGGGGACCACCCAGGUUGCCUAAGGAGGGGUGAACCGGCCCAGGUCGGAAACGGAGCAAGUCAAAACUCCUGUGCUGAUCAGUAUUGGGAUCGCGCCUGUGAAUAGCCACUGCACUCCAGCCUGGGCAACAUAGCGAGACCCUGUCUCU